RNAcentral lists this transfer RNA (72 nucleotides) under Camelus bactrianus (Bactrian camel). It matches the Rfam family "tRNA". From Rfam's summary of the family: Transfer RNA (tRNA) molecules are approximately 80 nucleotides in length. Their secondary structure includes four short double-helical elements and three loops (D, anti-codon, and T loops). RNAcentral also lists the same sequence under 2 other names. Lineage: Eukaryota; Metazoa; Chordata; Mammalia; Artiodactyla; Camelidae. The record is from Rfam by way of RNAcentral.
GAGGGUAUAGCUCAGUGGUAGAGCACGUACUGAGCAUGCAGGAGGUCCUGGGUUCAGUCCCCAGUACCUCCA